CCUCGGGUGGCUGCAGUGGGGAAUUUUGGACAAUGGGCGCAAGCCUGAUCCAGCCAUGCCGCGUGAGUGAAGAAGGCCUUCGGGUUGUAAAGCUCUUUCGGUGGGGAAGAAAUGGCACUUUCUAAUACAGAGUGUUGAUGACGGUACCCGCAUAAGAAGCACCGGCUAACUACGUGCCAGCAGCCGCGGUAAUACGUAGGGUGCGAGCGUUAAUCGGAAUUACUGGGCGUAAAGCGUGCGCAGGCGGUUGUAUAAGUCAGAUGUGAAAUCCCCGGGCUCAACCUGGGAACUGCAUUUGAGACUGUACGGCUAGAGUUUGGCAGAGGGGGGUGGAAUUCCACGUGUAGCAGUGAAAGGCGUAGAGAUGUGGAGGAACACCGAUGGCGAAGGCAGCCCCCUGGGCCAAUACUGACGCUCAUGCACGAAAGCGUGGGGAGCAAACA
This 443-nucleotide ribosomal RNA is filed under the name uncultured prokaryote. RNAcentral describes it as "bacterial SSU rRNA". It matches the Rfam family "Bacterial small subunit ribosomal RNA", at positions 339 to 774 of the family's 1533-position model. The record is from RNAcentral.